GGAGUUUCCAGAUAACAACUGUCUGGCUCUCCUGCCCAGGACUGCACUUCUAUAAGCUCCAGCUGCCUGAUCUUCCAGGGGUUCCUGUAGAAGUGAGAGCUAUGGAAAUGGAAGCUCCCGUGUCAAGAACAUGGACUGGUCUGUAAGGAUUAUUAUAAAAAACAGAUGUAUAAGGACUUUGAAAUUGAAUCAGAGAUAGAAACCUAAAAGUAACAGAGAAAGUCCCCACACAACACGCCCAUGAGUCCAUUAACAACCUGGAUGGCACAGAGGACAAACUCUAGAGCACCGAAGCCAAGGAGGAUGGAA
This is a long non-coding RNA of Xenopus laevis (African clawed frog), 309 nucleotides long. RefSeq lists it as uncharacterized. NCBI's taxonomy places the organism in Eukaryota, Metazoa, Chordata, Amphibia, Anura, Pipidae. The transcript has 3 exons. The record is from RefSeq and is a predicted model, not a curated record.